UACGUAGGGGGCAAGCGUUGUCCGGAAUCAUUGGGCGUAAAGAGCGCGUAGGCGGUCCGGUAAGUCGGUUGUGAAAACUGGGGGCUCAACCCUCAGAGGCCGACCGAUACUGUCGGGCUAGAGUCCGGAAGAGGCGAGUGGAAUUCCUGGUGUAGCGGUGAAAUGCGCAGAUAUCAGGAGGAACACCAAUAGCGAAGGCAGCUCGCUGGGACGGUACUGACGCUA
RNAcentral lists this ribosomal RNA (225 nucleotides) under uncultured bacterium. Its description in RNAcentral is "partial 16S ribosomal RNA". It matches the Rfam family "Bacterial small subunit ribosomal RNA", at positions 524 to 748 of the family's 1533-position model. The record is from RNAcentral.